UACGUAGGGUGCGAGCGUUAAUCGGAAUUACUGGGCGUAAAGCGUGCGCAGGCGGCGCGUUAAGACAGGUGUGAAAGCCCCGAGCUUAACUUGGGAAUUGCGCUUGUGACUGGCGUGCUGGAGUGUGGCAGAGGGGGGUGGAAUUCCGCGUGUAGCAGUGAAAUGCGUAGAGAUGCGGAGGAACACCGAUGGCGAAGGCAGCCCCCCUGGGCCAACACUGACGCUCAGGCACGAAAGCGUGGGGAGCAAACAGG
Molecule: ribosomal RNA, 254 nt
Filed under: uncultured bacterium
Lineage: Bacteria
Description: partial 16S ribosomal RNA
Rfam family: Bacterial small subunit ribosomal RNA
Source: RNAcentral